UACGUAGGGGGCAAGCGUUGUCCGGAUUUAUUGGGCGUAAAGAGCGUGUAGGCGGCCUUACAGGUCAGCUGGGAAAACUCGAGGCUCAACCUCGAGACGUCGGUUGAAACCGUAAGGCUAGAGUCCGGAAGAGGAGAGUGGAAUUCCCGGUGUAGCGGUGAAAUGCGCAGAUAUCGGGAAGAACACCCGUGGCGAAGGCGGCUCUCUGGGACGGUACUGACGCUGAGACGCGAAAGCGUGGGGAGCGAACAGG
Molecule: ribosomal RNA, 253 nt
Filed under: uncultured bacterium
Lineage: Bacteria
Description: partial 16S ribosomal RNA
Rfam family: Bacterial small subunit ribosomal RNA
Source: RNAcentral